Molecule: long non-coding RNA, 382 nt
Organism: Limanda limanda (common dab)
Lineage: Eukaryota; Metazoa; Chordata; Actinopteri; Pleuronectiformes; Pleuronectidae
Exons: 5
Source: RefSeq, a predicted model, not a curated record
UCUCUUUGAAGCUGGCGCAGAAGAAACACUUUGUCCCAGUUGCGUUAUUGACUCCUCCCCUUUCCAGGGCGCAACACAGACACGGUCCUUGUUCUUCUGAGAGGUUCUGCGGGUGAGAACAACAGAAACAGCUGCAGUCUCAAGCUCCACUAUCGACUGCAAUCAUGAUCAAAUUGUUGCUUGUGGCGAUUGUUGCACUGGUGACCUUUUCAGUGGAACCAGUUCCUACAAAAUCACCCUGCGACUAUCCAACCCACAUCCAAUGCUGGACGGAUUGGUUUGACAGAGAUGACCCCUCUGGAUCUGGAGACUGGGAAACCCUCUCCAGUCUUCGUACUGAGAACCCAGGAAAGAUCUGCCCCAGACCAAUCGAAAUCGAACC